CGGGGAGGUCGCAAGCCGUAGCAGGAGAACACUGGAUCGCACAGAAAGAAAACUCCUACGAAGAAAGUUUCCAAUCUGCCUGGGAUCUCGCGUGCUCCUCCCAGAAUGGAGCUCCCUGCACACAGGCAGGUCCAGCCAGGCACUGCGCCUUGUAUUUUAAUGUGUGGCAUAAAACAGAAAGAAAAAGCAAACCCCAGCGACGUCGGUCACGCAGGAUGUGGUUACAAAGAGCUUCCUGUGACACUGCAAGGUUUGAAACUGGAGGUGCACGCGCAGACCUGAUGAAUGAAGUAAUUACCGCCUAUUGAGUCUGCGGCGCACGCGAGAGUAUUCUUCAAAAACAUCCAGUUUCCCGGCACCAGUUUACUGAAGAGAACGCCUUUCCCGUGGCCUUCCUGGACCUUGCUGAGCACCCGUUGAACCUGCGGCUUGGAUGCCGGCCCGCCGGGCCAGGCCACGGGAGGCCACGCGAGGCCACACUGCUGCAACGCUGCCCGGUAAGUGCGGAUGGCCGCGGGGCCGCCUCCAACUUUGUCAGUAUUGCUUUGGCUAUGUGCAGACAUGUUUUAUGGCUCAAUAUGAAUUUUAGGAUUUUUUAAUAUUUCUGUAAAGCAUGCACAUGAAAUGUGAGAAAGAUUUCCUUGAAUUUGUAUAGUGCUUUGGGUAGUAUGGAUAC
This is a long non-coding RNA of Octodon degus (degu), 676 nucleotides long. RefSeq lists it as uncharacterized. The transcript is spliced from 3 exons. The record is from RefSeq and is a predicted model, not a curated record. NCBI's taxonomy places the organism in Eukaryota, Metazoa, Chordata, Mammalia, Rodentia, Octodontidae.